This 501-nucleotide ribosomal RNA is filed under the name uncultured bacterium. Its description in RNAcentral is "bacterial SSU rRNA". It matches the Rfam family "Bacterial small subunit ribosomal RNA", at positions 28 to 515 of the family's 1533-position model. The record is from RNAcentral.
GACGAACGCUGGCGGCGUGCUUAACACAUGCAAGUGGAGCGACGAACCGGGGCUUGCCCCGGGGCAGAGCCGCGAACGGGUGAGUAACACGUGGGUAACCUGCCUCAAUGAUUGGGACAACCCGAGGAAACUCGGGCUAAUACCAAAUGUGUCCACUCCUUGUAAGGGGAGUGGGGAAAGGAAGCUUCGGCCUCCGCAUUGAGAUGGGCCCGCGGCCCAUUAGCUUGUUGGUGAGGUAACGGCUCACCAAGGCUUCGAUGGGUAGCUGGUCUGAGAGGACGAUCAGCCACACUGGGACUGAGACACGGCCCAGACUCCUACGGGAGGCAGCAGUGGGGAAUCUUGCACAAUGCGCGAAAGCGUGAUGCAGCAACGCCGCGUGGGGGAAGACGGCCUUCGGGUUGUAAACCCCUUUCAGUUGGGACGAAGCUUCGUCGGUGAAUAGCCGGUUGGAGUGACGGUACCUUCAGAAGAAGCCCCGGCUAACUACGUGCCAGCCGC